RNAcentral lists this long non-coding RNA (2700 nucleotides) under Physcomitrium patens. RNAcentral describes it as "long non-coding RNA (PPAT_LNC011898)". Lineage: Eukaryota; Viridiplantae; Streptophyta; Bryopsida; Funariales; Funariaceae. The record is from RNAcentral.
UGACCCAAGACACAUCCCAAAUUAUAGACAAACUUUAUUUGAUGAAAGAUGCUUAAUAUAAUUCAUGAAUCAAUUUAUUGAAUAGUUAACUUCAGACACUAAACAUAACAUUCCAAAGUGCCAUCAACUUUAUGGUAUUACAUGUACACACAGUAUGAAAAAAGGAAAGAUAAGUCCAAGAGAAGAGAAAUUUUGAAUAAAUGUGAAGCUAUAGGAACAUUUUUGUUUGUUGCUCUGUUAAUGCCCACAUUAUAAUCAAUAUGACUAAAAAGUAUAUGCAAAAUUAUUAACAUCAAUAACUACAAAAAUACUACAAGGUAAGCAACCCUGAUAAAUUUUCAUACAUUUUCCAUUCACUAAUAUCUGAUGAAUGAACAAGAGGAGUGAGAUAAAGACCUACAAAUUAGUUACAUAUUACCUGGGCAAUCAAGGAUGAAUGAUUGUCAAUUCAAAACCAAAUCUGUUUUGUGUAGGAGUAGAGUAAAGAACCAGCUGAGAAAAGGUACCAGACAAGUUCUUUCUGUGCUAUGAGAAACCAACAAUGGCACUACAAACAGGGUCUCCAGAUCAGAGUAUCCAGAACCAUUACAAAGGGAUGGGUUGCAUGGGGAGCAGUGAGAGGCCCUGUACUCAUGUUGUUUCGAAGGGGAAAGCAUCCAAUUUUGCAGAACAGGUACCCAGCUUGCACCUCUGACCUUUUUACUUCAUCUGUCCAUUGUUCAUCUGUCUCUACAACACAUAAAUGUUGGGUAACUGCCUCAAAUUAUGUGAACAAUUCACUGAUAAACAAAAUCAAUUGUUGGGAAUCCCUAAAGUAUUGGUAUAAGGGUGCAUGGUUAAAGAUCUAGAGGUUUUGAAAAAAAGCAAAACACAAACAUAAACACAAAAAUAUUUGAGAACAAUUAAAUAGAACAAAAAAUUAGGAUUUAUUAAAAUGUUCUCAUUUGGGGAGCCAUUAGGAUUUUCUAUUCAUUCAGUACCAUGUACCAGCUGCUUACCUAUUCUGCAACUGCAGAAAGCAUCAAGUUUGGUUUUCUCAUCAAUGGGCACCAUUCCUGCCCCAUCAAUGGUCAGUUGUUGAAAGUGAAGCAAAUAGGAUUAAGAUGGGGGCACCUGUAUGAUUUCCUCAUAUACAAAGCACUAAGGGAGGAAGCUUAAUCAAUGAAGGCUUAAUGAGGAAGAGUUUUAUUUUAUUUUAUUUUUCUGGGACACAAGUAGAGGUUUAUUGCAGUAAAAGGGUUAAUUUACAAUGGAAGAGCUUUUUCACACUCCUGUGUACUGGCAGAGCACAGAAAUGAUGUUCCUGUUUGUCUUGCCAUUUCUUGUUUAAAGGAGAAUGUCAUUAGUUACAAAAUGAUUGGGUUGCUUGAUUGCUUACUUGUUUCAGGAGAGCUGCAGAGGGAUGUGAAUGCAUUUUCCUUGACAGUUCACUCAGUGAUAAGAGCUUCGAAAGCAUUCAAAAAUGUAAUCCCCUGAGUGAUGAACUGAUUGCUGAAUGCCUGGGGGAAACUGGGAAUCUGCAGGUUUUGAUGUGACUAGACAGCAGUAGUUCCUUCGAAUGAUCCACAUGAAUAUGACUGGAACAUGUUGAAUGAUGCCAUCUUGUGAUUCUACCAGAGCACUUGAAGAGAUAACAGCUGCUUGUUGCAUUUCCUGCACAGGUCAGCCUAGUAUUAUUCUAACCGUUACACAACUUUUCAAACACAUCUUCCAAUAUUUACUGCGUGCUAUAGUAAAACGUUCUGUUACUUCUUGGUCAAAAAUCUCAUUAUCAUUAGGCUUGGUUUACUUCAAGGCACAUUCUCAUAUUUUACACUCUCCUCUCGAAAGUAACAAUUCCUUACAUUCUGAGUGCAACUUGCAGUAAUCGGUACGGGAGGAAAUUAUCAUGCUGAAUCUCGAAACUUCUUUCUUCUGCCAUUAGUACUGCAAACAUCAUUAUUUGUAUUUCAUCUCUGCAAGCGUGCGUCAGCACAAAUGAACAUUCUCUAUGACAAAUCUUAUGCUUCUCAAAGUGACAUUCCAUCGAUUAUUAGGCACGCCUCCCCCGUUGUUCAGACCAAUUUCGGGAGGGUAAUUCUUUUGGCUGGUAUGUUUCCAGAAUUGCGACACACAAACCUUCUUUGAGCAGUUUCUAGAGCAGAGAUCAGUAUCCUGUAAAUCCCCAUUUCAUAUACACGAAUUCGGCAAUACAUGAUUCAAUUAAAUGCGGAGACAGAAUAGUUGUGAAUGCGAAAUUUGGAUCUGCAAGAGGAAUUUUUCCAAUCCUCCUAGAUAUAAACUUUGGGAGACUCCGUCUUUCGACAUCCAACUACGUCACUGUCACUCCAGAAAUCAGAUACCUUAAGGAACCACAUCCAAAAAUUAAGCUAAGACUAAAUAAAAUUCUGCAUUAUCUGAACGAAUGUGAAGUGUCACGGCUUCCAAAGCUAUCUUGGUGCAAUUCAGUGUGACCUUACUCUGAAAACAGCAUUGAGGAGGUCCCAAAAAAGUUCUGGCAAACUAACUCUCUUAAAUGGUGCAAUUUUUCCAUCAGUAAAAAUUGGACUGGACAACUUACAGCAGAAAAAUGAACCGGUGUUUCUAUGUCAAAAUCUCAGUUCUCCAGUGCUAAGGGAACAAAAUGAAGUGACAGUAAUCCUCUACCCAAUGAUUCUAAGUUUGAAAAUUCGUAUGACGUGCUCCAUGAAAAGCAUUUGG